Molecule: ribosomal RNA, 301 nt
Filed under: uncultured bacterium
Lineage: Bacteria
Description: partial 16S ribosomal RNA
Rfam family: Bacterial small subunit ribosomal RNA
Source: RNAcentral
CAGCCGCCGCGGUAAUACGAAGGGUGCAAGCGUUAAUCGGAAUUACUGGGCGUAAAGCGUGCGUAGGCGGUGAGUUAAGUCUGCUGUGAAAUCCCCGGGCUCAACCUGGGAAUGGCAGUGGAUACUGGCUCGCUAGAGUGUGUCAGAGGAUGGUGGAAUUCCCGGUGUAGCGGUGAAAUGCGUAGAGAUCGGGAGGAACAUCAGUGGCGAAGGCGGCCAUCUGGGACAACACUGACGCUGAGGCACGAAAGCAUGGGGAGCAAACAGGAUUAGAUACCCCCGUAGUCCCUGUCCUUAUACA